UACGUAGGGAGCGAGCGUUGUCCGGAUUCAUUGGGCGUAAAGAGCUCGUAGGCGGCUUGAUAAGUCGGAUGUGAAACCUCCAGGCUCAACCUGGAGUCGCCAUCCGAUACUGUCAUGGCUAGAGUCCGGUAGGGGAGUGUGGAAUUCCCGGUGUAGCGGUGAAAUGCGCAGAUAUCGGGAGGAACACCAGUGGCGAAGGCGGCACUCUGGGCCGGUACUGACGCUGAGGAGCGAAAGCGUGGGGAGCGAACAGG
This 254-nucleotide ribosomal RNA is filed under the name uncultured bacterium. Its description in RNAcentral is "partial 16S ribosomal RNA". It matches the Rfam family "Bacterial small subunit ribosomal RNA", at positions 524 to 776 of the family's 1533-position model. The record is from RNAcentral.